Molecule: transfer RNA, 75 nt
Rfam family: tRNA
About the family: Transfer RNA (tRNA) molecules are approximately 80 nucleotides in length. Their secondary structure includes four short double-helical elements and three loops (D, anti-codon, and T loops). Further hydrogen bonds mediate the characteristic L-shaped molecular structure. tRNAs have two regions of fundamental functional importance: the anti-codon, which is responsible for specific mRNA codon recognition, and the 3' end, to which the tRNAs corresponding amino acid is attached (by aminoacyl-tRNA synthetases). tRNAs cope with the degeneracy of the genetic code in two manners: having more than one tRNA (with a specific anti-codon) for a particular amino acid; and 'wobble' base-pairing, i.e. permitting non-standard base-pairing at the 3rd anti-codon position.
Source: Rfam
GGGCCUAUAGCUCAGCUGGUUUAGAGCGCACGCCUGAUAAGCGUGAGGUCGAUGGUUCGAGUCCAUUUAGGCCCA